This 73-nucleotide transfer RNA is filed under the name Bos taurus (domestic cattle). It matches the Rfam family "tRNA". From Rfam's summary of the family: Transfer RNA (tRNA) molecules are approximately 80 nucleotides in length. Lineage: Eukaryota; Metazoa; Chordata; Mammalia; Artiodactyla; Bovidae. The record is from Rfam by way of RNAcentral. RNAcentral also lists the same sequence under 3 other names.
UCCCUGGUGGCCCAGUGGUUAGGACUUGACACUCUCACUGCCAAGGGCCUGGGUUCAACCCUUGGUUGGGGAA